GGCGGCAGGCUUAACACAUGCAAGUCGAACGAGGUUAGAAAGCUUGCUUUUGAUACCUAGUGGCGGACGGGUGAGUAAUGCUUAGGAAUCUGCCUAGUAGUGGGGGAUAACUUGGGGAAACUCAAGCUAAUACCGCAUACGACCUACGGGUGAAAGGGGGCGCAAGCUCUCGCUAUUAGAUGAGCCUAAGUCGGAUUAGCUAGUUGGUGGGGUAAAGGCCUACCAAGGCGACGAUCUGUAGCUGGUCUGAGAGGAUGAUCAGCCACACUGGGACUGAGACACGGCCCAGACUCCUACGGGAGGCAGCAGUGGGGAAUAUUGGACAAUGGGCGAAAGCCUGAUCCAGCCAUGCCGCGUGUGUGAAGAAGGCCUUUUGGUUGUAAAGCACUUUAAGUGGGGAGGAAAAGCUAAUGGUUAAUACCCAUUAGCCCUGACGUUACCCACAGAAUAAGCACCGGCUAACUCUGUGCCAGCAGCCGCGGUAAUACAGAGGGUGCAAGCGUUAAUCGGAAUUACUGGGCGUAAAGCGCGCGUAGGUGGUUACUUAAGUCAGAUGUGAAAGCCCCGGGCUUAACCUGGGAACUGCAUCUGAUACUGGGUGACUAGAGUAGGUGAGAGGGAAGUAGAAUUCCAGGUGUAGCGGUGAAAUGCGUAGAGAUCUGGAGGAAUACCGAUGGCGAAGCAGCUUCUGGCAUCAUACU
RNAcentral lists this ribosomal RNA (701 nucleotides) under Moraxella canis. RNAcentral's name for it is "bacterial SSU rRNA". It matches the Rfam family "Bacterial small subunit ribosomal RNA", at positions 38 to 741 of the family's 1533-position model. The record is from RNAcentral. Lineage: Bacteria; Pseudomonadati; Pseudomonadota; Gammaproteobacteria; Moraxellales; Moraxellaceae.